Stegostoma tigrinum is the source of this 552-nucleotide long non-coding RNA. RefSeq lists it as uncharacterized. NCBI's taxonomy places the organism in Eukaryota, Metazoa, Chordata, Chondrichthyes, Orectolobiformes, Stegostomatidae. The record is from RefSeq and is a predicted model, not a curated record. The transcript is spliced from 3 exons.
UGCCCCCGACAGGCCUCAAACCGCCCUCCUUCCCCGGACCGACGAUGGCAGAGGCUCGAAGGGCUCCUCCGCCUCCGAUUGGGUGGGAGGACUGUCCGUCAGGCCAGGCGCCUUCACUGAUUGGUGCAGUGCUAGCACAAGCACCGCCCUCUUCGGGGUGGGGCUCCGCACAUCACGUGAUUCCCCAAAGGCUGCCGCUCUUGAGCGAGCUUCACGUUUCCUUGGGCAACGUGUCCGCGCCUCCUGAGGAUGAUUGACGGUUCAUGGCUACGCCUAGCACCCCACCAGCUUGAAACAAUCUCAACUACUGGAGAAAUGCAAAGGCCAAGACUCCUCAAAAGCUUUGCCUUGGAUCUCCAUACCGGCCUUGACUGCAGACAUCCAUCCUGAUCCAACCAAACCUGAAAGAUCAAACUGGGGAUUGUGACAACCUCUGGAGCAAGGAGAAAGCGGCCCAGAAUAGGGCAGAGGAAGACCGUACAAAAAAAGGGCCAGCUGAGCCUGACGUCUAUGCUUUUGUUUCCUAUGAGUGGUCACAUGGGAGAAGACCAG